RNAcentral lists this transfer RNA (75 nucleotides) under Candidatus Daviesbacteria bacterium. RNAcentral's name for it is "tRNA-Ile". It matches the Rfam family "tRNA". From Rfam's summary of the family: Transfer RNA (tRNA) molecules are approximately 80 nucleotides in length. Lineage: Bacteria; Candidatus Daviesiibacteriota. The record is from RNAcentral.
GGGCGGAUAGCUCAACGGUAGAGCGAUUGUCUUAUACACAAUUGGUUCCAGGUUCAAAUCCUGGUCCGCCCACCA